This 253-nucleotide ribosomal RNA is filed under the name uncultured bacterium. RNAcentral's name for it is "partial 16S ribosomal RNA". It matches the Rfam family "Bacterial small subunit ribosomal RNA", at positions 524 to 776 of the family's 1533-position model. The record is from RNAcentral.
UACGUAUGUCCCGAGCGUUAUCCGGAUUUAUUGGGCGUAAAGCGAGUGCAGACGGUUGAUUAAGUCUGAUGUGAAAGCCCGGAGCUCAACUCCGGAAUGGCAUUGGAAACUGGUUAACUUGAGUGUUGUAGAGGUAACUGGAAUUCCAUGUGUAGCGGUGGAAUGCGUAGAUAUAUGGAAGAACACCAGUGGCGAAGGCGGCUUACUGGACAGCAACUGACGUUGAGACUCGAAAGUGUGGGUAGCAAACAGG